Molecule: ribosomal RNA, 899 nt
Filed under: Alternaria alternata
Lineage: Eukaryota; Fungi; Ascomycota; Dothideomycetes; Pleosporales; Pleosporaceae
Description: partial large subunit ribosomal RNA
Rfam family: Eukaryotic large subunit ribosomal RNA
Source: RNAcentral
AGCAUAUCAAUAAGCGGAGGAAAAGAAACCAACAGGGAUUGCCCUAGUAACGGCGAGUGAAGCGGCAACAGCUCAAAUUUGAAAUCUGGCUCUUUUAGAGUCCGAGUUGUAAUUUGCAGAGGGCGCUUUGGCUUUGGCAGCGGUCCAAGUUCCUUGGAACAGGACGUCACAGAGGGUGAGAAUCCCGUACGUGGUCGCUGGCUAUUGCCGUGUAAAGCCCCUUCGACGAGUCGAGUUGUUUGGGAAUGCAGCUCUAAAUGGGAGGUACAUUUCUUCUAAAGCUAAAUAUUGGCCAGAGACCGAUAGCGCACAAGUAGAGUGAUCGAAAGAUGAAAAGCACUUUGGAAAGAGAGUCAAACAGCACGUGAAAUUGUUGAAAGGGAAGCGCUUGCAGCCAGACUUGCUUACAGUUGCUCAUCCGGGUUUUUACCCGGUGCACUCUUCUGUAGGCAGGCCAGCAUCAGUUUGGGCGGUAGGAUAAAGGUCUCUGUCACGUACCUCCUUUCGGGGAGGCCUUAUAGGGGAGACGACAUACUACCAGCCUGGACUGAGGUCCGCGCAUCUGCUAGGAUGCUGGCGUAAUGGCUGUAAGCGGCCCGUCUUGAAACACGGACCAAGGAGUCUAACAUCUAUGCGAGUGUUUGGGUGUCAAGCCCGAGCGCGUAAUGAAAGUGAACGGAGGUGGGAACCCGCAAGGGUGCACCAUCGACCGAUCCUGAUGUCUUCGGAAGGAUUUGAGUAAGAGCAUGGCUGUUGGGACCCGAAAGAUGGUGAACUAUGCUUGAAUAGGGUGAAGCCAGAGGAAACUCUGGUGGAGGCUCGCAGCGGUUCUGACGUGCAAAUCGAUCGUCAAAUUUGGGCAUAGGGGCGAAAGACUAAUCGAACUAUCUAGUAGCUGG